GAACCGUUGUUCAUCUUCCAAUCGCCACGACCGCCCGUCCUCCUUCCCAUGGAUGUUCUAGCCGUGACCUAAGGCCCCCUUCUCACAAAUGCUCAUGAAAACACCUAAUUAAUCCCAACAUUCAAUCACUGCAAACUGCUAUAGAUUGAACUCAUCCACCGCCGCCUCGAGGUUAUAAGAAAGGCCAUGCCGCCAUCCGCAUCAGGCCAUCAACCACGCCAGCCUGCUCGAGCCUACACCACUGACGGCGGCCACCACGCUGGUACCUCGCCGCUUCCGUUUCGAAUUCGGCCACCAUGCUGGUACGUCGCCGCUCCCCAUUCUUAUCCCUCAGUUUUUUCAAUCCCUAAAUACGUAUUCCUAAUCUGUAUUCCUAAUCUGCUAGGUUGACCUCCGGCCGGAAUCCACUUCACGAUUUGACCCUGGAUCCGAUUAUAUUGGUUUCUGCAAGUUGCUGCAUCAGACCCCCUCAAAUUCUUUGAAUAUUUUGGUUUCUUACUCUGGUCGCUCAAGCUGGAAGACGCUGGCCAUCAGCUCCUAACACCCCUCAAUUUAUUUGGAUAUUUCGGAGCUAGAAGACGCUAGCCAUCAUCUCCUGUACUGCCUGACUCUGCACUACACCUACUUCCGUUGGUAAUCCAAUCCUCGAAUCUAAUCCUCUUAAAUUUUAGUUUGCAUUGCCGAAGCACACGCACCCUCUCCUCAAUUAAUUAAUUAGUUACAUCCUAAUUUGCUCUCCAACAAUCUUCCGUCAGUGCAUGUGUUCAGAAAAUUUGGCUACAUACCACAACAACAGUAACUGGUAGACAUUGUGUGCGUUUUAACAAUGGAUACCUCUGAAGAUCCUACAAGCCAUCCUGCCUAAUGAGAUGUAAUGGGCUGCCGCAUACAUUCCAAGUAUACGUGGUGAAUUAACUUAUCUAUUGCAGAGCUCAUUUAAAGGUAUGGCAUUUGAAAUCCUUUACAGAUUUUACCUUAACUAUGCUCUUUUCAUUAUCCAUUCUUUAAAUACUUUUGAUUGCUUGACAACUCUUUACAUCCAGCAAAUACUUUCAGUUUUUUUUUUGUUCACACAGAGCUUUGGAAAGAUUACGGUGAUGUGAAAUUUUCUGAUGAGGGACCUUCAAAUUUCGGUGUACCUGAAGUCUGUCAAUGUGCAAUCCUUGCAAUACUUGAGAGUUCAGACCCUACUUAUUUAACUUGAAAUAUUAAAUUUGUAGCUGAUGUUAUUUCCUUAUAAGAGUACCACUCAUGAGUUAACUAUUCCAUGUUUGUCCAUGGUAAUCAUUGCCACCUAAUCCCAGCGAAAAAUUGCAUGUUAUAUAUGA
Molecule: non-coding RNA, 1328 nt
Organism: Lolium perenne
Lineage: Eukaryota; Viridiplantae; Streptophyta; Magnoliopsida; Poales; Poaceae
Source: RefSeq, a predicted model, not a curated record